AGGGAUGUAGCUCAGUGGUAGAGCACUUGCCUAGCAUGUGAGAGGCAUUGGGUUUGAUCCCCAAUACUA
RNAcentral lists this transfer RNA (69 nucleotides) under Ictidomys tridecemlineatus (thirteen-lined ground squirrel). RNAcentral's name for it is "Spermophilus tridecemlineatus (thirteen-lined ground squirrel) tRNA". It matches the Rfam family "tRNA". Rfam says of the family: Transfer RNA (tRNA) molecules are approximately 80 nucleotides in length. Their secondary structure includes four short double-helical elements and three loops (D, anti-codon, and T loops). The record is from Rfam by way of RNAcentral. Lineage: Eukaryota; Metazoa; Chordata; Mammalia; Rodentia; Sciuridae.